RNAcentral lists this unclassified non-coding RNA (22 nucleotides) under Chlamydomonas reinhardtii. RNAcentral's name for it is "small RNA Cre_3431". Lineage: Eukaryota; Viridiplantae; Chlorophyta; Chlorophyceae; Chlamydomonadales; Chlamydomonadaceae. The record is from RNAcentral.
UGGUAUCGCAACGGACGUGCUU